This is a long non-coding RNA of Dioscorea cayenensis subsp. rotundata (Guinea yam), 448 nucleotides long. RefSeq lists it as uncharacterized. The record is from RefSeq and is a predicted model, not a curated record. NCBI's taxonomy places the organism in Eukaryota, Viridiplantae, Streptophyta, Magnoliopsida, Dioscoreales, Dioscoreaceae. The transcript is spliced from 2 exons.
CCUGGUGAGUAGAUGAAAUAAAAAUAGAGAUUAAUUUAUAGUCUCUUUUGUUGACUUUAAGUGGGUGGUGUAUGUUGCUUAGUGGACAGUAAACAAAUGGAGCACCGACGUUGUGUUUGGAGAAAGGGGGGAAAAACAGAUGAUAAAUAAUGGAACCCGUGGGUGUGGUGGAAGUGACAACCAUUAUAGCAGUGCUUUUAUUAUCUUAGACUUUUAUGCUGGAGGGACUUUGUUUGGGAGGCUGUCACCUAUAUAUUUCUCAAGUUCAAUGGUUCUAUAAUUAAAUAUUAACCAAUAAAUUAGGGUUACCAUUUAGUAAUGAUUGUAUGUCCAUACACUUUUGUAAUCCCAAAAUGUAAAUCCAUCUUUAUAGGUAUUUGAAUCUGCUGGUUAAUCUGAUAAUACAAAUUUGUUGGUAAAUUUGGCAAUGUAAAUCCCUUGGUACAGA